UUUCAGGGAAGCCACUUCCCCCAUGUGCUCUUCUGGUUUCCUCAUUGGUGUUCGGGAAGAGGAGGCUGGGCUCCUCCCUGGGAGUAGGGUGCUAUGACAGAUGAGACUUUCAUGCAAGAAAAUAAAUCCUGCACAUUUGAUGUACUGCUUUAAACUUAAAGACCUCUUUGGAUCCGAAACUGUAAGGAUUCUAUAAACCUGGAGAGUAAUCCUAAGAAAAAUCAUCAGAAGAAAGGAAUUUGUAGAACUAAAACUGCAAACAUCCAGAAUCUUGAUGGUGUGCCAAGCCAAAUGUCAACUGGAACUCAACCAAAAACUAAAGUAAGUUUUAGUUUUCUUACAUAUGCCCCUGGUGUGAGUGUCCUGCUCUGUUCAUACAGUGUAA
RNAcentral lists this long non-coding RNA (385 nucleotides) under Rhinopithecus bieti (black snub-nosed monkey). Its description in RNAcentral is "lncRNA (ENSRBIG00000045560.1)". Lineage: Eukaryota; Metazoa; Chordata; Mammalia; Primates; Cercopithecidae. The record is from RNAcentral.